RNAcentral lists this ribosomal RNA (253 nucleotides) under uncultured bacterium. RNAcentral's name for it is "partial 16S ribosomal RNA". It matches the Rfam family "Bacterial small subunit ribosomal RNA", at positions 524 to 776 of the family's 1533-position model. RNAcentral also lists the same sequence under 1 other name. The record is from RNAcentral.
UACGGAGGGUGCAAGCGUUAUCCGGAUUUACUGGGUUUAAAGGGUGCGUAGGCGGGUUGGGUAGUCAGUGGUGAAAUACUAUAGCUUAACUAUGGAACUGCCAUUGAUACUCUCAAUCUUGAAUACAGUGGAGGUGGGCGGAAUGCGUCAUGUAGUGGUGAAAUACUUAGAUAUGACGCAGAACACCAAUUGCGAAGGCAGCUUGCUACACUGUUAUUGACGCUGAGGCACGAAAGCGUGGGGAUCAAACAGG